UACGGAGGAUGCGAGCGUUAUCCGGAUUUAUUGGGUUUAAAGGGUGCGUAGGCGGCCGAGUAAGUCAGCUGUGAAAUUUUGCAGCUUAACUGUAACAGUGCCGUUGAUACUGCAUGGCUAGGAUUUGGUUGCUGUGGGUGGAAUGUGUGGUGUAGCGGUGAAAUGCUUAGAGAUCACACAGAAUAUCGAUUGCGAAGGCAGCUCACAAAGCCAAGAUUGACGCUGAGGCACGAAAGUGUGGGGAUCAAA
This 249-nucleotide ribosomal RNA is filed under the name uncultured prokaryote. RNAcentral describes it as "partial 16S ribosomal RNA". It matches the Rfam family "Bacterial small subunit ribosomal RNA", at positions 524 to 772 of the family's 1533-position model. The record is from RNAcentral.